CAGCUCAGCUGGUUACAGCGUGGUGCUGAUAAUGCCAAGGUUGCAGGUUCGAUCCCCAUAUGGGAGA
RNAcentral lists this transfer RNA (67 nucleotides) under Podarcis lilfordi (Lilford's wall lizard). Its description in RNAcentral is "tRNA.Ile". Lineage: Eukaryota; Metazoa; Chordata; Lepidosauria; Squamata; Lacertidae. The record is from RNAcentral.